AGUGAACGCUGGCGGUAGGCCUAACACAUGCAAGUCGAACGGCAGCACAGUAAGAGCUUGCUCUUACGGGUGGCGAGUGGCGGACGGGUGAGGAAUACAUCGGAAUCUACUUUUUCGUGGGGGAUAACGUAGGGAAACUUACUCUAAUACCUCAUACGACCUACGGGUGAAAGCAGGGGAUCUUCGGACCUUACGCGAUUGAAUGAGCCGAUGUCGGCUUAGCUAGUGGGCGGGGUAAAGGCCCACCAAGGCGACGAUCCGUAGCUGGUCUGAGAGGGUGAUCAGCCACACUGGAACUGGGACACGGUCCAGACUCCUACGGGAGGGAGCAGUGGGGAAUAUUGGACAAUGGGCGCAAGCCUGAUCCAGCCAUACCGCGUGGGUGAAGAAGGCCUUCGGGUUGUAAAGCCCUUUUGUUGGGAAAGAAAAGCAGCAGGUUAAUACCCCGCUGUUCUGACGGUACCCAAAGAAUAAGCACCGGCUAACUUCGUG
This 492-nucleotide ribosomal RNA is filed under the name uncultured bacterium. RNAcentral's name for it is "partial 16S ribosomal RNA". It matches the Rfam family "Bacterial small subunit ribosomal RNA", at positions 29 to 507 of the family's 1533-position model. The record is from RNAcentral.